RNAcentral lists this unclassified non-coding RNA (87 nucleotides) under Pseudomonas synxantha. Lineage: Bacteria; Pseudomonadati; Pseudomonadota; Gammaproteobacteria; Pseudomonadales; Pseudomonadaceae. The record is from RNAcentral.
GUGGGAGGGGGCUUGCUCCCGAUGGCGGUAGUUCAGUCGAUUUAUAAGUAACUGACCCACCGCCAUCGGGAGCAAGCCCCCUCCCAC